AGUGAACGCUGGCGGUAGGCCUAACACAUGCAAGUCGAACGGCAGCACAGGAGAGCUUGCUCUCUGGGUGGCGAGUGGUGGACGGGUGAGGAAUACAUCGGAAUCUACUUUUUCGUGGGGGAUAACGUAGGGAAACUUACGCUAAUACCGCAUACGACCUACGGGUGAAAGCAGGGGAUCUUCGGACCUUGCGCGAUUGAAUGAGCCGAUGUCGGAUUAGCUAGUGGGCGGGGUAAAGGCCCACCAAGGCGCCGAUCCGUAGCUGGUCUGAGAGGAUGAUCAGCCACACUGGAACUGAGACACGUUCCAGACUCCUACGGGAGGCAGCAGUGGGGAAUAUUGGACAAUGGGCGCAAGCCUGAUCCAGCCAUACCGCGUGGGUGAAGAAGGCCUUCGGGUUGUAAAGCCCUUUUGUUGGGAAAGAAAUCCAGCUGGUUAAUACCCGGUUGGGAUGACGGUACCCAAAGAAUAAGCACCGGCUAACUUCGUGCCAGCAGCCGCAGUAA
Molecule: ribosomal RNA, 506 nt
Filed under: uncultured bacterium
Lineage: Bacteria
Description: partial 16S ribosomal RNA
Rfam family: Bacterial small subunit ribosomal RNA
Source: RNAcentral